CAGCAUACUUUGUCUCCUUGCAGCUGCUGCUUCUGCUUUUGCAGAUGAUUUAUGAAUGUGUUGAACAGUUCUGAAAUUGCAAAAUCCUGUAUGACUUCAUUUGCUUUAUUAGCCCAUAUAUGUGUUGCACGGAGGUACAUGCUCCAGAAAGCCUUGAAAUACCAGGUUAUUAACUAUCCACACAAGGAAAAAAAGAUCUCUGUUAUGUGA
RNAcentral lists this long non-coding RNA (210 nucleotides) under Phasianus colchicus (ring-necked pheasant). RNAcentral describes it as "lncRNA (ENSPCLG00000020201.1)". The record is from RNAcentral. Lineage: Eukaryota; Metazoa; Chordata; Aves; Galliformes; Phasianidae.